RNAcentral lists this ribosomal RNA (3207 nucleotides) under Oncorhynchus tshawytscha (Chinook salmon). RNAcentral describes it as "eukaryotic LSU rRNA". The stretch from base 1935 to 3198 matches the Rfam family "Eukaryotic large subunit ribosomal RNA", at positions 1889 to 3399 of the family's 3401-position model. The record is from RNAcentral. Lineage: Eukaryota; Metazoa; Chordata; Actinopteri; Salmoniformes; Salmonidae.
UUCUCUUUUCUUUGUGAAUGGCAGGGCACCCUUGAAUGGGUUCGCCACUGAGAGAGGGGCCCAAGCCCUGCAGUUGUUUUUUUUUAACCUUUAUUUUACUAGGUAAGUCAGUUAAGAACAAAUUCUUAUUUUCAAUGACGGCCUAAGAACAGUAGGUUAACUGCCUGUUCAGGGGCAGAACGACAGAUUUUGUACCUUGUCAGCUCGGGGAUUUGAACUUGCAACCUUUCGGUUACUAGUCCAAUGCUCUAACCACUAGGUUACCCUGCCGCUACCCUGCCGCCCCAAGUUCCGGCGGCAUUCGGUGAGCUCUCGCUGGCAAGUGAAAAUCUGCGGAGAGGGUGUAAAUCUCACGCCGGGCCGUACCCAUAUCAGCAGCAGGUGUCGAUCUAUAAGCCCUGAUAAUGGUGAAGUGGGCAAUAAACAUACAGUAAAUCAAAUACAGUAAAUCAAAUACAGUAAAUCAAAUACAGUACAAGAAAGGGGAACAAUAUAUAACCGUAAACAAAAAACGGUUGCCGGUCGGAGGGCCGUUGUGCGAAAUAGACCAAUGAGGAGUGGAUAAACGGCGCGAGACUCUACGAACCUCCGAAGACGGGAUAGGCUCCUCCUUACCCUCGGUAUGUGGUUCUGAGCCGGGAGUUGGCUUAGGCUUCUCGUCCGAGCUCAGUUCCCCGCAUUGCCACAUCGCCUGGGUUGCGCCCAACCAGCUCAAUUCCCCCUUUCUCGGUGGUGCACCUGUGGACAGGUGCGUCGGCCGCGUCUGAAGGGGAUAAGGGGUUGCUGGUAAACCAGGUCUUCCCAACUUGGGCUCCAAUACCAAGCGCCUGCCCACAGGAUAGUAUGAGCAGGUAACAGAGGGGCCCUCUAGUAGGACCCCUCCGGUCCCUUCUUGCAUGACACCUGGCCUGGGCAGGUCAAACUGUCUCUGAUAUGGGAACGGAUAUGGGUUAGUUCAGGGAGGUAAGGGAGGUAUCCCUCUAGUAGGGCACUUCCAACCCCUCCUUGUAGGUCACCUGUUCACAGGUGUUGAUAACGAUGAAAACAAGUGUAGCCAACCAGAGAAUGGUGGCUCGAACACAUCCCCAGCUCCGGCUGGGAGGAGGGAACUAAGUUCAGAGAGACGACUGAAGGAGCUCCGGCUGGGAGGAGGGAACUAAAGUUCAGAGAGACGACUGAAGGAGCUCCGGCUGGGAGGAGGGAACUAAGUUCAGAGAGACGACUGAAGGAGCUUCGGCUGGGAGGAGGGAACUAAGUUCAGAGAGACNUGAAGGAGCUCCGGCUGGGAGGAGGGAACUAAGUUCAGAGAGACGACUGAAGGAGCUUCGGCUGGGAGGAGGGAACUAAGUUCAGAGAGACGACUGAAGGAGCUUCGGCUGGGAGGAGGGAACUAAGUUCAGAGAGACGACUGAAGGAGCUUCAGCAACAUCAGUCCGAUCACAGAGCCUCUGUGGUGAAACGUUUAAACGCUCGUCACCCACAUACUUAGGCAACUAGCUUCUCGGAGCAUGAAGUGGGAUGGCAUGUGACUAACCGUUAGCAAAAACAUACUGUCUACGGAUGGGUCCUAGGUUCCGAGGUCCCGGGGGUAAUAACUAUCCCCAUGGUGAAUAGAGCGGAUAAAUAUGCAGGCCGAAAGGGAGGUACACUACAUGCAUACGCGCACAUGGUCAGGGGCGGAAUGGUAACAUGUAUCACUCACACCGGCGAAACCAGCACAUAGUGUUAGAGUUCCUUACAAAUGCAGAGGGCCAUCCGACGCACGGUAGAAUAAUCCCUCUCUUUUUGUGUCACCCUCAGGUCUCUCGCAGUGACGGACGGAGUCAAGCAGUAGGAAUCGGAUGCCCUCUCCAGCUGGAGGAUGCCAGAUACAGUAGCGCUAGUCCUCGGCGACCUCGUUUCCAGGUAAGUAGUGCGCAGCUCGUAGGCCGACUGACGGCCAGUCGAUAAGCCGGAAGCGAGUCCACCCUGCCAUGCGGAUCAACCGAGGGUGAAAUGGAGACGAGUCCCGCUUCGACCGGUGCUCCUCAUGUCAAAGUGAAGAAAUUCAAUGAAGCAUGGGUAAAGGGCGGGAGUGAUUAUGACUUGAUUAAGGUAGGCAAAUGCCUCGUCCUCUAAUUAGUGACGUGCAUGAAUGGAUGAACGAGAUUCACACUGUCCCAAGGGAACGGGCUUGGCGGAAUCAGGGGGCAAAGAAGACCAGAAGACCCUGUUGAGCUUGACUCUAGUCUGGCACUGUGAAGAGACAUGAGAGGUGUAGAACAAGUGGGAGGCCCCGGCCGCCGGUGAAAUACCACUACUCAUCGUUUUUUCACUUACCCGGUGAGGCGUGGAGGCGAGCCCCGAGGUGGCUCUUGCUUCUGGCGUCAAGUACCUGGCAACCCGAUCCGGGGACAGUGGCAGGUGGGGAGUUUGACUGGGGCGGUACACCUGUCAAACGGUAAUGCAGGUGCCCUAAGGCAAGCUUAGGGAGGACAGAAACCUCCAGUGGAGCAGAAGGGCACAAGCUUGAUUGAUCUUGAUUUUCAGUAUGAAUGCAGACCGUGAAAGCAGGGCCUCAUGAUCCUUCUGACUUUUUGGGUUUUAAGCAGGAGGUGUCAGAAAAGUUACCACAGGGAUAACUGGUUUGUGGCGGCCAAGCGUUCAUAGCGACGUCACUUUUUGAUCCUUCGAUGUCGGCUCUUCCUAUCAUUGUGAAGCAGAAUUCACCAAGCUUGUUCACCCACUAAUAGGGAACGUGAGCUGGGUUUAGACAGUCGUGAGACAGGUUAGUUUUACCCUACUGAUGAUGUGUUGUUGCAAUAGUAAUCCUGCUCAGUACGAGAGGAACCGCAGGUUCAGUCAUUUGGUGUAUUUGCUUGGCUGAGGAGCCAAUGUGCGAAGCUACCAUCUGUGGGAUUAUGACUGAACACCUCUAAGUCAGAAUCCCCCCUAAACGUACCGAUACCGUAGCGCCGCGGAUCUUCGGUUGGCCCGGGAAAGCCUGCCUCUUUUGGCAGGUGAGUAGACCUGUUCGUGACGUGGUUGGGGUGUGGCCGGAUGAGUUGCCGCCCCUCUCCUGAUGCACACCAUUAUGUUUGUGGGGAACCUGGUGCUAAAUCACUCGUAGACGACCUGAUUCUGGGUCAGGGUUUCGUACGUAGCAGAGCAGCUCACUCGCUGCGAUCUAUUGAAAGUCAGCCCUCGAUCCAAGCUUUUGUCGGGACA